RNAcentral lists this ribosomal RNA (253 nucleotides) under uncultured bacterium. RNAcentral describes it as "partial 16S ribosomal RNA". It matches the Rfam family "Bacterial small subunit ribosomal RNA", at positions 524 to 776 of the family's 1533-position model. The record is from RNAcentral.
UACAGAGGUCCCAAGCGUUGUUCGGAUUCGCUGGGCGUAAAGGGUGCGUAGGCGGUCGGGUAAGUCUGAUGUGAAAUCUCACAGCUUAACUGUGAAACUGCAUUGGAUACUAUUCGGCUUGAGAGUUGGAGGGGGGACUGGAAUUCUUGGUGUAGCAGUGAAAUGCGUAGAUAUCAAGAGGAACACCAGUGGCGAAGGCGAGUCCCUGGACAACUUCUGACGCUGAGGCACGAAAGCUAGGGGAGCAAACAGG